GGGAUUGUAGUAUAGUGGUCAGUACUUCUCGUUGUGGUCAGUUCGGCAUACAACGAUCCGAGAGGACCCAGGUUCGAUUCCUGGCAAUCCCA
RNAcentral lists this transfer RNA (92 nucleotides) under Neurospora tetrasperma FGSC 2509. It matches the Rfam family "tRNA". Rfam says of the family: Transfer RNA (tRNA) molecules are approximately 80 nucleotides in length. Their secondary structure includes four short double-helical elements and three loops (D, anti-codon, and T loops). Further hydrogen bonds mediate the characteristic L-shaped molecular structure. tRNAs have two regions of fundamental functional importance: the anti-codon, which is responsible for specific mRNA codon recognition, and the 3' end, to which the tRNAs corresponding amino acid is attached (by aminoacyl-tRNA synthetases). tRNAs cope with the degeneracy of the genetic code in two manners: having more than one tRNA (with a specific anti-codon) for a particular amino acid; and 'wobble' base-pairing, i.e. permitting non-standard base-pairing at the 3rd anti-codon position. Lineage: Eukaryota; Fungi; Ascomycota; Sordariomycetes; Sordariales; Sordariaceae. The record is from Rfam by way of RNAcentral.